CAGCAGCGCGGUAAUACGUAGGGUGCGAGCGUUAAUCGGAUUUACUGGGCGUAAAGCGUGCGCAGGCGGCCCGUUAAGACAGGUGUGAAAUCCCUGGGCUCAACCUAGGAAUUGCGCUUGUGACUGGCGGGCUCGAGUACGGUAGAGGGGGGUGGAAUUCCUGGUGUAGCAGUGAAAUGCGUAGAGAUCAGGAGGAACACCGAUGGCGAAGGCAGCCCCCUGGGCCUGUACUGACGCUCAUGCACGAAAGCGUGGGGAGCAAACAGGAUUAGAUACCCUGGUAGUCCACGCCCUAAACGAUGGGUACUAGCCGUUUGGUGCGCGAUAGCGCUGAGUGGCGAAGCUAACGCGUGAAGUACCCCGCCUGGGGAGUACGGCCGCAAGGUUGAAACUUAAAGGAAUUGGCGGG
This 409-nucleotide ribosomal RNA is filed under the name uncultured microorganism. RNAcentral describes it as "bacterial SSU rRNA". It matches the Rfam family "Bacterial small subunit ribosomal RNA", at positions 509 to 917 of the family's 1533-position model. The record is from RNAcentral.